UUAUUAUCAUGUGAAGGUUUUCUGAGGUGCCAACAUCAGUUAAAGGGUGUUUUAGUUGAAAUAAGGACUUACACUUAAGAACAUGAAGGUCUUAGGAUAAUGGGAAUAAACCAGAAAGUGUGAAGAGCAGAAUUGAUAAUUAGCUUAGAAAGUGAACCGUAGUAAAUAUGUUCUGAAAUAAGGAAUUAUUUCUUUUAUUCCUUGAUGUUAAAGAUGAGGUAGGGAUGAAUUCUUUUUGUUUGCAUGAAUAUCUGAUCUUUGUAAAAUAA
Molecule: unclassified non-coding RNA, 269 nt
Filed under: Hevea brasiliensis (rubber tree)
Lineage: Eukaryota; Viridiplantae; Streptophyta; Magnoliopsida; Malpighiales; Euphorbiaceae
Source: RNAcentral